This 282-nucleotide unclassified non-coding RNA is filed under the name Hevea brasiliensis (rubber tree). Lineage: Eukaryota; Viridiplantae; Streptophyta; Magnoliopsida; Malpighiales; Euphorbiaceae. The record is from RNAcentral.
ACCCCGUCGCCAACAACGCCUGGGUCUACGCCACCAAGUUCACGCCGGGCUCGUGAAUGGCCCAGCCGCCAUUGUAGACUACUCUCUCUCUCCAUCGCUCGAUGUACCAAUGCUUGCACAGAUUGUACGAUGCUGUGAUGAAUCUGAUAUGAUCCAUCCAGAAUUCAGAAACUGAAAAAAGUUGGGGUUUGCAACUUAUGUGUCAGCUGCUGCUUUAAGCUUAGUUAACUCUUUUGAUGUUUUAAUUUGUACAUUUGUGUACUUUGUAAUGAUCCAUACGAG